UUGUCUCAAAUGUUUUUUUUUUAUUUUUAAAUUUUCUAUCCUAGAGCUGAUUAUGUUGUAGCUUCUGUAUUAGGUAGAGACAUGCAUAAUUCAAAAGACAUCAUUAGCAAAUGGAAUGUAAACACUUUGGGAUAACUGUCUUACAAGCACUGGAACUGCUGUAGGAACAACGUGAAGCAGUAUUUAGUCUGUGUGUGAUGCUACAGGUUUAAAAAAGAGAAGCAGAUGAGAGGCAGCACCACACAGAGGCACAGCUGCAAAGCUCAAACUUCUGCUGCUCCAUAUUGGGACCCCACUGAAGCAGAACAUUAAUCUUUUCAGCUCUUGGACUUCUCACCUAAACACAUCAUGGCACCAGCUCUGUUAUCCUGAAGAAGGCGCAACACAGGCUUUAGGGAAAAGAAAGAAUGGAGCCACGUUAGAAAAAGCACCUAUUUGAUUUAAUCAAAUAAAAAAAGUCUUCCUUUUUUUUCC
RNAcentral lists this long non-coding RNA (474 nucleotides) under Phasianus colchicus (ring-necked pheasant). RNAcentral describes it as "lncRNA (ENSPCLG00000018230.1)". The record is from RNAcentral. Lineage: Eukaryota; Metazoa; Chordata; Aves; Galliformes; Phasianidae.